This is a microRNA precursor of Folsomia candida, 82 nucleotides long. It matches the Rfam family "mir-46/mir-47/mir-281 microRNA precursor family". From Rfam's summary of the family: The hairpin precursors (represented here) are predicted based on base pairing and cross-species conservation -- their extents are not known. In this case the mature sequences are expressed from the 3' arms of the hairpin precursors. The record is from Rfam. Lineage: Eukaryota; Metazoa; Arthropoda; Collembola; Entomobryomorpha; Isotomidae.
GAGCUUUAACCUCGAAGAGAGCAAUCCGUCGACAGUUUAGACCAAACACUGUCAUGGAGACGCUCUCUUUAAGGUGAAAUGC